AUGAACGCUGGCGGCGUGCCUAAUCCCUGCAAGUCGAGCGCACAGACGAGGAGCUUGCUCCUUUGAUGUUAGCGGCGGACGGGUGAGUAACACGUGGGUAACCUACCUAUAAGACUGGGAUAACUUCGGGAAACCGGAGCUAAUACCGGAUAAUAUUUCGAACCGCAUGGUUCGAUAGUGAAAGAUGGCUUUGCUAUCACUUAUAGAUGGACCUGCGCCGUAUUAGCUAGUUGGUAAGGUAACGGCUUACCAAGGCAACGAUACGUAGCCGACCUGAGAGGGUGAUCGGCCACACUGGAACUGAGACACGGUCCAGACUCCUACGGGAGGCAGCAGUAGGGAAUCUUCCGCAAUGGGCGAAAGCCUGACGGAGCAACGCCGCGUGAGUGAUGAAGGUCUUCGGAUCGUAAAACUCUGUUAUUAGGGAAGAACAAACGUGUAAGUAACUGUGCACGUCUUGACGGUACCUAAUCAGAAAGCCACGGCUAACUACGUG
RNAcentral lists this ribosomal RNA (496 nucleotides) under uncultured bacterium. RNAcentral's name for it is "partial 16S ribosomal RNA". It matches the Rfam family "Bacterial small subunit ribosomal RNA", at positions 29 to 507 of the family's 1533-position model. The record is from RNAcentral.